UACAGAGGGGGCAAGCGUUGUUCGGAAUUACUGGGCGUAAAGGGCGCGUAGGCGCCUUCUAAGUCGAACGUGAAUCCCCGGGCUCAACCCGGGAACUGCGUCCGAUACUGGAAGGCUUGAAUCCGGGAGAGGGAUGCCGGAAUUCCAGGUGUAGCGGUGAAAUGCGUAGAUAUCUGGAGGAACACCGGUGGCGAAGGCGGCAUCCUGGACCGGUAUUGACGCUGAGGCGCGAAAGCCAGGGAGCAAAGCGGG
Molecule: ribosomal RNA, 252 nt
Filed under: uncultured bacterium
Lineage: Bacteria
Description: partial 16S ribosomal RNA
Rfam family: Bacterial small subunit ribosomal RNA
Source: RNAcentral